Molecule: long non-coding RNA, 584 nt
Filed under: Pan troglodytes (chimpanzee)
Lineage: Eukaryota; Metazoa; Chordata; Mammalia; Primates; Hominidae
Description: lincRNA
Source: RNAcentral
CUUAUUUGAAAAGACAUCAUUGGUUAAUAUUCCCUUUUGCUCAUUGAAAUCUCAAAGACUACAGGUGUGGUGCAAUUCCAUUAGAUGAAAGAGAUCUACACAUUCAGAAGCACAUGAUUCUUCCCCCUUCCAUGAUUCCAGUGGCCAAUAGAAUGGAGUGUAGUGGCGUGAUCUUGGCUCACAACAACUUCCGCUUCCCACAUUCAAGCGAUCCUCCCACCUUAUACUCCUGAGUAGCUGGAACCACAGACAAACUACAAUAAAGCCAUGCCCUGACUGGAUGUGCCUAACAUUUGUCUGGUGCUUAAAGGAGUUGGCUGCAUGCAUGGGAUGGAGAAGGAUUCAACAUUUAAUGGCAGUUAGAAUCAAAUUUUUAACGCAAGAAGGCAGAAGGAAUCCACCGAAAUAAAUGUUGGAAAGUCACCAAAAAUAGUUCUCCAAGUCAGAAGCGGUGCAAAAGCUGCCUCAGCUCUUGGUGGAUUUUCAAUUUCUCCCAGCCAUCUCUGUUUCUCUAAAGGUUUCUGAAGACAGUGGGUAUGUGGCAAAAUUCUGCAAUUCUAUAUUAAGAUAAACUGUUAGAUCAA